Molecule: ribosomal RNA, 253 nt
Filed under: uncultured bacterium
Lineage: Bacteria
Description: partial 16S ribosomal RNA
Rfam family: Bacterial small subunit ribosomal RNA
Source: RNAcentral
UACGUAGGGUGCAAGCGUUAAUCGGAAUUACUGGGCGUAAAGCGUGCGCAGGCGGCUUUGCAAGACAGAUGUGAAAUCCCCGGGCUUAACCUGGGAACUGCAUUUGUGACUGCAUAGCUAGAGUACGGUAGAGGGGGAUGGAAUUCCGCGUGUAGCAGUGAAAUGCGUAGAUAUCGGAAGGAAUACCGAUGGCGAAGGCAGCCCCCUGGGAUAACACUGACGCUCAUGCACGAAAGCGUGGGGAGCAAACAGG